This 377-nucleotide ribosomal RNA is filed under the name uncultured Ideonella sp. RNAcentral describes it as "bacterial SSU rRNA". It matches the Rfam family "Bacterial small subunit ribosomal RNA", at positions 65 to 452 of the family's 1533-position model. The record is from RNAcentral. Lineage: Bacteria; Pseudomonadati; Pseudomonadota; Betaproteobacteria; Burkholderiales; Sphaerotilaceae.
AACGCGGGGCGACCUGGCGACGAGUGGCGAACGGGUGAGUAAUGCAUCGGAACGUGCCCAGUAGUGGGGGAUAGCCCGGCGAAAGCCGGAUUAAUACCGCAUACGACCUAAGGGUGAAAGCGGGGGAUCGCAAGACCUCGCGCUAUUGGAGCGGCCGAUGUCGGAUUAGCUAGUUGGUGGGGUAAAAGCCUACCAAGGCGACGAUCCGUAGCUGGUCUGAGAGGACGACCAGCCACACUGGGACUGAGACACGGCCCAGACUCCUACGGGAGGCAGCAGUGGGGAAUUUUGGACAAUGGGCGCAAGCCUGAUCCAGCCAUGCCGCGUGCGGGAAGAAGGCCUUCGGGUUGUAAACCGCUUUUGUCAGGGAAGAAACG